UUGGAGGGCAAGUCUGGUGCCAGCAGCCGCGGUAAUUCCGGCUCCAAUAGCGUAUAUUAAAGUUGUUGCAGUUAAGAAGCUCGUAGUUGAAUUUUAGGCCUGGCCAGGCGGUCCGUCUUUGGCGAGUACUGUUCUGUGUCGGGUCUUACCUUCUGGUGAACCGUUAUGUCCUUAAUUGAGUGUACCGGGGAGCCAGGACCAUUACCUUGAAAAAACUAGAGUGUUUAAAGCGGGCUAUUGCUUGAAUAGAUUAGCAUGGAAUAAUAGAAUAGGACGUUGGUUCUAUUUUGUUGGUUUCUAGGACCACCGUAAUGAUUAAUAGGGAUAGUUGGGGGCAUUAGUAUUCAAUUGUCAGAGGUGAAAUUCUUGGAUUUAUUGAAGACUAACUAUUGCGAAAGCAUUUGCCAAGGAUGUUUUCAUUAAUCAAGAACGAAAGUUAGGGGAUCGAAGACGAUCAGACACCGUCGUAGUCUUAACCAUAAACUAUGCCGACUAGGAAUCGGGCGACGUUAUUUUCAUGACUCGCUCGGCGCCUUACGGGAAAC
Molecule: ribosomal RNA, 545 nt
Filed under: uncultured Archaeosporales
Lineage: Eukaryota; Fungi; Glomeromycota; Glomeromycetes; Archaeosporales
Description: SSU rRNA
Rfam family: Eukaryotic small subunit ribosomal RNA
Source: RNAcentral